AAGAAAAAGAAAGAAAAAAAAAGAAAAGGAAAAGAAAAGAAAAGAAAAAAGAAAAGAAAAGUUAUCACCAGGUGAUAACUACUAUGUUGAAAAUUGAGGUAGUGGAAGGGGGAACAGCAAGGGCAGAGUGGGGUUUCUUGCAUAUGCAGGUUGUUUGAGAAAGGCUGCUCUGAUAAGCUGGCAUGGGAAGCAGUGCAGGAUAAGGGAGGGGUUUCCCCAUGCAAGUAUCUGGGGGAGAAGCUUUCCAGGAAGAAGAAACAGGCCAGUGCAAAGGCCUAGAGGCUGGAGGAUGCUUGGCUGUGCGCCAGGAACAGCAAGGAAGCUAGCAUGGCCGGAGUAGGGGGUGCAAGGGACCUUGCCGGCUUCCCACCAUUGUCUGAUAAGGCUGGUACAGCCUACAUUGAAGAGCAUGAAACAGUCACCCUGCAAGGAGGUGCUGAUUCUCCAAAUACCCUAUCUCUACCUGUGCCUUCACUCCUAGAACUAGAAUCAGAUGCUAACGCACUCCAAGAGGAUAUGGACAAGAUCUGAUUGAGGGGAGACGCUUUACACAACAAAAGAGCAACAGAAAGCAAGAAACAGGCAUGACGAAUGAUGACUGGCCAUGGAGGAGGAGUGGAACUGGCAAGGACACUGAGAGGCAGCAGCUAAUAGGGAAACAAGGAGACGUGGAAUCCUACAAGCCAAGUGAAAAAAAAAAACCUUUUUCUGGGAGGAAAGCGUAAUCCACUAUAUCAAAUGCUGCUUAACAAAUGCUUGUUGAAUGAAUACUGGGAGACAGAUGAAGGCCCCAGUGUUCCUCUCCCUGAUGCUAUUCCUCUUCCUCUUCUCAGCAGA
Long non-coding RNA from Cercocebus atys (sooty mangabey), 837 nucleotides. RefSeq lists it as uncharacterized. The record is from RefSeq and is a predicted model, not a curated record. NCBI's taxonomy places the organism in Eukaryota, Metazoa, Chordata, Mammalia, Primates, Cercopithecidae. The transcript is spliced from 3 exons.